AACGCACCUUGCGCCCUUUGGUAUUCCGAAGGGCAUGCCCGUUUGAGUGUCAUUGUAUUCUCAAACCCACCCCUCGCUUUUCGUGAGUGCGGUCGGGUUUGGAUUUGGAGGUUUUUGCGGUUUUUCAAAUUGCUCCUCUUGUAUGCAUUAGCUGGAACCUUUGGACCGGCCUUCGGUGUGAUAACUAUCUACGCCGUGGUCACCGGGUGUCGAGGAUCUGCUUAUAAUUGUCUCCGGACAAACUUUUCUGACAUCUGACCUCAAAUCGGGUAGGACUACCCGCUGAACUUAA
Molecule: unclassified non-coding RNA, 292 nt
Filed under: uncultured Skeletocutis
Lineage: Eukaryota; Fungi; Basidiomycota; Agaricomycetes; Polyporales; Incrustoporiaceae
Description: partial contains 5.8S ribosomal RNA, internal transcribed spacer 2, and large subunit ribosomal RNA
Source: RNAcentral